GACGAACGCUGGCGGCGUGCCUAAUACAUGCAAGUCGAGCGGAUUGAUGGGAGCUUGCUCCCUGAUAUCAGCGGCGGACGGGUGAGUAACACGUGGGCAACCUGCCUAUAAGACUGGGAUAACUUCGGGAAACCGGAGCUAAUACCGGAUAAUCCCUUUCCUCUCAUGAGGAAAGGCUGAAAGAUGGUUUACGCUAUCACUUAUAGAUGGGCCCGCGGCGCAUUAGCUAGUUGGUGAGGUAACGGCUCACCAAGGCAACGAUGCGUAGCCGACCUGAGAAGGUGAUCGGCCACACUGGGACUGAGACACGGCCCAGACUCCUACGGGAGGCAGCAGUAGGGAAUCUUCCGCAAUGGACGAAAGUCUGACGGAGCCACGCCGCGUGAGUGAUGAAGGUUUUCGGAUCGUAAAACUCUGUUGUUAGGGAAGAACAAGUACGAGAGUAACUGCUCGUACCUUGACGGUACCUAACCAGAAAGCCACGGCUAACUACGUGCCAGCAGCCGCCGUAA
Molecule: ribosomal RNA, 512 nt
Filed under: uncultured bacterium
Lineage: Bacteria
Description: partial 16S ribosomal RNA
Rfam family: Bacterial small subunit ribosomal RNA
Source: RNAcentral